UACGUAGGGUGCAAGCGUUAAUCGGAAUUACUGGGCGUAAAGCGUGCGCAGGCGGUGAUGUAAGACAGGUGUGAAAUCCCCGGGCUUAACCUGGGAACUGCAUUUGUGACUGCAUCGCUGGAGUGCGGCAGAGGGGGAUGGAAUUCCGCGUGUAGCAGUGAAAUGCGUAGAUAUGCGGAGGAACACCGAUGGCGAAGGCAAUCCCCUGGGCCUGCACUGACGCUCAUACACGAAAGCGUGGGGAGCAAACAGG
RNAcentral lists this ribosomal RNA (253 nucleotides) under uncultured bacterium. RNAcentral's name for it is "partial 16S ribosomal RNA". It matches the Rfam family "Bacterial small subunit ribosomal RNA", at positions 524 to 776 of the family's 1533-position model. The record is from RNAcentral.